Molecule: ribosomal RNA, 464 nt
Filed under: Vreelandella stevensii
Lineage: Bacteria; Pseudomonadati; Pseudomonadota; Gammaproteobacteria; Oceanospirillales; Halomonadaceae
Description: partial 16S ribosomal RNA
Rfam family: Bacterial small subunit ribosomal RNA
Source: RNAcentral
CCUACGGGUGGCAGCAGUGGGGAAUAUUGGACAAUGGGGGGAACCCUGAUCCAGCCAUGCCGCGUGUGUGAAGAAGGCCCUCGGGUUGUAAAGCACUUUCAGUGAGGAAGAACGCCUGGUGGUUAAUACCCAUCAGGAAAGACAUCACUCACAGAAGAAGCACCGGCUGACUCCGUGCCAGCAGCCGCGGUAAUACGGAGGGUGCGAGCGUUAAUCGGAAUUACUGGGCGUAAAGCGCGCGUAGGUGGCUUGAUAAGCCGGUUGUGAAAGCCCCGGGCGCAACCUGGGAACGGCAUCCGGAACUGUCAAGCUAGAGUGCAGGAGAGGAAGGUAGAAUUCCCGGUGUAGCGGUGAAAUGCGUAGAGAUCGGGAGGAAUACCAGUGGCGAAGGCGGCCUUCUGGACUGACACUGACACUGAGGUGCGAAAGCGUGGGUAGCAAACAGGAUUAGAUCCCUGGUAGUC